GGGGAUUGCCUUAAUACGGCGAGUGAAGCGGCAAAAGCUCAAAUUUGAAAUCUGGCACCUUCGGUGUCCGAGUUGUAAUUUGAAGAAGCUACUUUGGGGCUAGUCCUUGUCUAUGUUCCUUGGAACAGGACGUCAUGGAGGGUGAGAAUCCCGUAUGGCGAGGAGUCUAGUCCUAUGUAAAGUGCUUUCGACGAGUCGAGUUGUUUGGGAAUGCAGCUCUAAGUGGGUGGUAAAUUCCAUCUAAAGCUAAAUAUUGGCGAGAGACCGAUAGCGAACAAGUACAGUGAUGGAAAGAUGAAAAGAACUUUGAAAAGAGAGUGAAAAAGUACGUGAAAUUGUUGAAAGGGAAGGGCAUUUGAUCAGACAUGGUGUUUUGCGACCCUCGCUCCUUGUGGGUGGGGAUCUCGCAGCUCACUGGGCCAACAUCAGUUUUGGCGGUAGGAUAAAUCUUUGGGAACGUGGCUUGUCUUCGGAGAAGCGUUAUAGCCCAGGGGAAUACUGCCAGCCGGGACUGAGGACUGCGACUUUUGUCAAGGAUGUUGGCAUAAUGGUUAAAUGCCGCCCGUCUUGAAACACGGACCAAAA
Molecule: ribosomal RNA, 585 nt
Filed under: Lachancea thermotolerans
Lineage: Eukaryota; Fungi; Ascomycota; Saccharomycetes; Saccharomycetales; Saccharomycetaceae
Description: partial large subunit ribosomal RNA
Rfam family: Eukaryotic large subunit ribosomal RNA
Source: RNAcentral